RNAcentral lists this ribosomal RNA (492 nucleotides) under uncultured bacterium. Its description in RNAcentral is "partial 16S ribosomal RNA". It matches the Rfam family "Bacterial small subunit ribosomal RNA", at positions 29 to 507 of the family's 1533-position model. The record is from RNAcentral.
AAUGAACGCUGGCGGUAUGCCUAACACAUGCAAGUCGAACGGCAGCACAGUAAGAGCUUGCUCUUACGGGUGGCGAGUGGCGGACGGGUGAGGAAUACAUCGGAAUCUACUUUUUCGUGGGUGAUAACGUAGGGAAACUUACGCUAAUACCGCAUACGACCUACGGGUUAAAUCAGGAGAUCUUCAGACCUUGCGCGAUUGAAUGAGCCGAUGUCGGAUUAGCUAGUUGGCUGGGUAAAGGCCCACCAAGGCGACGAUCCGUAGCUGAUCUGAGAGGAUGAUCAGCCACACUGGAACUGAGACACGGUCCAGACUCCUACGGGAGGCAGCAGUAGGGAAUAUUCGGCAAUGGGCGAAAGCCUGAUCCAGCAAUACCGCGUGGGUGAAGAAGGCCUUCGGGUCGUAAAGCUCUUUUAUUGGGAAAGAAAAGCAGCAGGUGAAUACAUCGCUGUCCUGACGGUACCUAAAGAAUAAGCCACGGCUAACUUCGUG